This 253-nucleotide ribosomal RNA is filed under the name uncultured bacterium. Its description in RNAcentral is "partial 16S ribosomal RNA". It matches the Rfam family "Bacterial small subunit ribosomal RNA", at positions 524 to 776 of the family's 1533-position model. The record is from RNAcentral.
UACGUAGGGGGCAAGCGUUGUCCGGAAUCAUUGGGCGUAAAGAGCUCGUAGGCGGUCUGUCGCGUCUGCUGUGAAAUCUCAGGGCUUAACCCUGAGCUUGCAGUGGGUACGGGCAGACUAGAGUGCGGUAGGGGAGACUGGAAUUCCUGGUGUAGCGGUGAAAUGCGCAGAUAUCAGGAGGAACACCCGUAGCGAAGGCGGCACUCUGGGCCGAUUCUGACACUGAGGAGCGAAAGCGUGGGGAGCGAACAGG